UGCAACGCAGGAGACUGAACCGGGUCCUUUUGCUACCGAGGCAUUGUUGAGAUAGUUGGCAAAACUGGCGCCAGGUCUGUGGAGUGGAAGGCUCUUCAACCUGUAAAAUGGGAGGGUAGUGCCUACUUCACCAUAGCCGUGGGGAGAAGCCCGUGAAAACACCUCUCAUCUGAGCCUGGGGCUUGUUCUUUCUUUGUUGAAGAGGAAUACAGAGGUGUCAAGGACAGAUGAGAACAAGACUGAGACUUUCUACUUGUUGAAAUCUGCGAGAAAAAAUGGGAAAGGAAUGAAUGAGAGGUUAUCUCUUAAUGUAAGUCAAUGUUUAUUCAAUGCUUUG
Molecule: long non-coding RNA, 337 nt
Filed under: Homo sapiens (human)
Lineage: Eukaryota; Metazoa; Chordata; Mammalia; Primates; Hominidae
Description: HSALNT0290558
Source: RNAcentral